UGCUUUUCAGAAUCACUGUGGAAUUGCGUUUCAACAAAUUUUUUCAAAAUCAUUUCAUCAUCACCAACUUCCAUGUUGCUGAAACUCCAGUAGAUUAUUAGUGUUCUCUUUUCCAUAUGGUAGCUUUCUAUCAUAACUAUCUUAGUGAUCAUUCCUAGACAUGUCAUACCAUUCUAUGAUGAGUGUUCAUCUCGUUAUCCAUCUCACUGUUAGAGGGUGUGUACUGUUCUUGAGGGUUCCAAACCGAAACCAUAUGAAAACAUUGAUAUUAUACCGAAUUGAACUUAUUUUACUGUUUUUGUUUGGUUGUGGUUUGUGACCAGGAAUCAAACCGAAACUAUUCUUGAACCAUACUAGAAUUGAAACGAUAGCCAAUUUUAUACAUAUGUUUUUUUAUAAUUUGUUAGGUAUAUUAUAUACUUUUGUAUGUAAUUAUAUAUAUAUUGUUUUUUUAAAGGGUUUUUUUAAUUAUAUAUAUAAAAAAAUUCUAGAUGAAGAAAGAGAAGGGGGUUGUUUUUGCUAGAGAUUCCUUGUGGUUGCUUGUGGAAGUUUGCUUGGAAAGAAAGUGACUGGGUUAGGUUAUUGAAGAGAGAAGUGGAAAAAAAUGAAAGUGAAAGCCCCACAUAACUGUCCAUAGGCCGAUAUCUUUCUCACACUUUUACAUUAAUCAAAGUUCUUUUUUUUUUAAAUUCUCUUUAUUUUUUAUAGUUAUAAUAAAUUUAAAAAAAACUGUCCUAACUAAUUUUUUAAAAAAUAAGGAUGAGAUAAGUUAAUAUAGUUAGUUGUGUGGAUGUUAUUUUAUUUGCUAUUUGUACAAAAGCAUUGAGUUUAGUUGAUUAUAAAAGGUUCAAAAGGACCAUGCUUAUUGAAUACUCAAGUCUUAAUGUGACUAUGGCUGAUUGGCAGUCACAAAGAAGCUUUCCUGAAAGCAAUUUUAACAUAAAAGGAAAUGUUUCAUAUGCAUUUUGGGUGAAUUGACUGCACCAUUCCAUGUGUUUGUCUUGUAAAAGAGGCAACAUUUUGCUUGCACCUGUCCCUAUACAGUCCACUCAUGUGCAAAUACAGCAUACAUACACGUUGCUUGCAAGUUAAACACUUUAAAAAGAUAAUUUUCUUUUUGGUCAUUUUCUACUUAGGACAAUAAGCACAAGUUGCAAGCAAUUAAUUUUUCAAAAUAC
Molecule: long non-coding RNA, 1178 nt
Filed under: Manihot esculenta (cassava)
Lineage: Eukaryota; Viridiplantae; Streptophyta; Magnoliopsida; Malpighiales; Euphorbiaceae
Description: long non-coding RNA (MESC_LNC011454)
Source: RNAcentral